AAGCGUUAAAGCUCCGGUAAAUACAGACCAAUAAUAAAGACAAUACACUCCCCACCCCCUAAAAAUAUUAAGCUAUCCUAUGCACACAUAGGAGAAACAAUGCUAAAAUCAGUAAUAAGAGGGCCCAAGCCCUCUCUUAGCACAUGUGUAAGUCAGAACGGACCGACCACUGACAAUCAACGGACCCAACCGGAGAGAAAAGGACCAACUUCCUAAAACCAGGAAAAUCCUAUUUAAUACCACAAACCGUUAACCCAACACAGGAGUGCUUAAAGGAAAGACUAAAAGGAGAAGAAGGAACUUGGCAAACACAAACCCGGCUUGU
This 325-nucleotide ribosomal RNA is filed under the name Anguilla japonica (Japanese eel). Its description in RNAcentral is "partial 16S ribosomal RNA". Lineage: Eukaryota; Metazoa; Chordata; Actinopteri; Anguilliformes; Anguillidae. The record is from RNAcentral.